GAUGAAGAACGUAGCGAAAUGCGAUAAGUAAUGUGAAUUGCAGAAUUCAGUGAAUCAUCGAAUCUUUGAACGCACAUUGCGCCCCUUGGUAUUCCGAGGGGCAUGCCUGUUCGAGCGUCAUUAUAACCCUUCAAGCUCAGCUUGGUGUUGGGGCCUGCCGCACGGGCAGCCCUUAAAAUCAGUGGCGGUGCCAUCUGGCUCUAAGCGUAGUAAUUCUUCUCGCUAUAGAGUCCCGGUGGAUGCUUGCCAUUAACCCCCAAUUUUCUAUGGUUGACCUCGGAUCAGGUAGGGAUACCCGCUGAACUUAAGCAUAUCAAUAAGCGGAGGA
Molecule: unclassified non-coding RNA, 328 nt
Filed under: soil metagenome
Description: partial contains 5.8S ribosomal RNA, internal transcribed spacer 2, and large subunit ribosomal RNA
Rfam family: 5.8S ribosomal RNA (bases 1-120)
Source: RNAcentral